AUGCAUCUCUGACAGACCUGGAACAGUUUAUGUCUGCUGCUAAGGAUUCUACUACAGAUGCAAGAUAAAAAGGUCCUUGCACUUUCUGUCAGCCUGGUUGCCAUAACCAAGAUUGAAUGGGGGAUUACAGGA
RNAcentral lists this small nucleolar RNA (132 nucleotides) under Dasypus novemcinctus (nine-banded armadillo). RNAcentral's name for it is "Small nucleolar RNA SNORA31 (ENSDNOG00000041685.1)". It matches the Rfam family "Small nucleolar RNA SNORA31". From Rfam's summary of the family: ACA31 (SNORA31) belongs to the H/ACA class of snoRNAs which are thought to guide the sites of modification of uridines to pseudouridines. The record is from RNAcentral. Lineage: Eukaryota; Metazoa; Chordata; Mammalia; Cingulata; Dasypodidae.